RNAcentral lists this ribosomal RNA (262 nucleotides) under uncultured bacterium. RNAcentral's name for it is "partial 16S ribosomal RNA". It matches the Rfam family "Bacterial small subunit ribosomal RNA", at positions 514 to 775 of the family's 1533-position model. The record is from RNAcentral.
GCCGCGGUAAGACGUAGGAUCCGAGCGUUGUCCGGAGUUAUUGGGCGUAAAGGGUGCGCAGGCGGUUAUAUAAGUCAGAUGUGAAAUCCCUGGGCUUAACCUAGGAAUUGCGUUUGAAACUAUAUAACUAGAGUGUGACAGAGGGGAGUGGAAUUCCAUGUGUAGCAGUGAAAUGCGUAGAGAUGUGGAAGAACACCGAUGGCGAAGGCAGCUCCCUGGGUUAACACUGACGCUCAGGCACGAAAGCGUGGGGAGCAAACAG